This is a non-coding RNA of Callithrix jacchus (white-tufted-ear marmoset), 2057 nucleotides long. The record is from RefSeq and is a predicted model, not a curated record. NCBI's taxonomy places the organism in Eukaryota, Metazoa, Chordata, Mammalia, Primates, Cebidae.
GGUGGCUCGGGGCCACAGACCCCAUAUGCACCUGGGAUGCGUGUGUGGAAUGGGAUUUCGGGGAGGGUGUGACCACUGGGCCAAGCCUGCUCUUCCUGUGUGUGACUGCUGUGGACUUGGUUUGUCCUCCUGGAUUCUCCUGUGGUCUUUUUGCCCUGACUCUAGCUGGGCUUUGCUGAUGAGCAGCCCCAGAGGCCUUUGCUCUGUUCACCAGCCUGUCCUGGGACUCUCAGCCAGGCCUUCUCACAAAAGAGGUGUCCUCUACAUGUGGUCACACCACAGCCUAGGACCACACAGGGAAUCAUGGUGGCAGAGCCUCCAGCCCCCCUGCCUUCCCAUUGCCCAGACACUCAGAGGUGGAGAUGCCCAGCCCCAGGCUGCCUUCUACCAUCACGAGCCUCUUCAUGAAAGGCUGUGUUCCAACCGAAAACUACUGGGCCAGAGGAUCCCUUAUACUGUUGUACGUAAUUGGGGUCUGUGCAUCCUUGUCAACAUAGAAGCUGAUGGAGUCUGAGGAAUAACACACGCUGAGAAAACCAAGCAUGGUCAUGACAGGCACUGUGUGAACUCCGAGCCUGCUUCCCACACAGCACAGUUGCGGUCAUGUCCACACUUACGUAGGCCUUGGCUCUGCCCAGCUGCGGGUGAUUUCAGCAGUGGAUGCAGCUCAGUGUGCCCCCACCUCCUGGCCGGCGCCUCCCCAGCCCGAGCUGCAUUCAUCAGGGUACCCCAGGGUGGGGCCUGUGUGGCCCUGACCCCCUCUGCUGCCUGAGGGCAAGGGCGGUGUGAGGCUGGCAGUGAAGCUACAGGUCGGCCUCCUGGCUCCCUGUUGCUCUCAGUCCAUUGUCUCUGCAAAUGCAGAGUCUAAACAGGGCACAGAACAUUUCCUCUUUGCUUGGGCCUGGCAUCAGCGACAAUGCCACCUGUGUGGGGGAGGACUCAGUGGGUAGUGUCCUGGCUUCCCUCCAGCCCCACAGAGCUUCCCUCAAACCUUGCUGACAGCUGGGCACUCUGAGUAAACUGAGGCAAGCCUGGGCCUAGACCAGGGUGUGGGGGCAUGUGCUGUGGGGAGGGGGGUGAGAGAGCUGGCCUCAGGAUUGGGCGGAAACGCCCUGCUGGUGCCUCUGCAGGGAAAACAAGGGCCCUUCAAGUCUGUGUGACUCUAUGUCCCAGAGAAGUAGACACCCGGCUCCCCUCCCUAAGAGCAGGGCCCAGGAGUUGGAGAGGGGCAGCUUUGCGCACCCCUUGUCCUGGGAUCCUGGGGUGCAAGAGUAGAACGAGCACAGUCAGCUCAGAGGGGACAGAGGUUGUGCUAGUUCCCUCUUUCCCUUUAGCCCAAACUCAUGUCCCUGCACACACUGGACCCUCGCAUUGCCUGGAAGUUAUCUGACCCCUGCUGCUGUCCCUUCCCCCGGAGAGACCCAGAUCCCCAAAUAAGGCCGCACUGGGCCCCAGGAUCCCAGGCUUGGAGACAGUGCUUUUGGGGAACUCCAGGGUCCCCCAGCUCUCUUGCUACUUCAGGAAUAGGUUGGACGGGGGCUCAGGAGAAGUGGCCCUCUCCCUGUCACUUCCUCAACAUCCCAGAUAAGGGCUCAGAAAGCUGCUGCAAAACCCGUGGGAGGAGACCCCACCCCUGGAGUUCCUCCCGGCCCUCCUCCCUCUGUUCUCGGUUCCCCAGGACCACAGAGGCUUCAGCCUGUUCUCACUGGUUCUCACUCAGCAGGGUGGUUGGUGGGGCAGGGUGACGACUCUCGGUGUUUCCUGACAACAGGCUGGGGGACUCAAGCGCCAAUGUGAAGCUGAAGCGUGUCCUGGAGACGGGGGGCGGUGAGACGGAGUCUGCCCAGGCCAUGCCAGUGGCCGGGGUGUGGCCCUGGGCCUGGGGAGGGUCGCUGUUUGAGAGGAGAUCGCAGCUUUAUAAAAUGACUCCGCACUGGGGAUACAGCAGGGAGUAAAACAGUGAAAACCCUUGUCCUCAAGGAGCUUCUGUUCUGGAUUCCACAGCCACACGCUCAAGUCUUUGCCGUCAGCCCUCCUCUCCCUGAGUCCGCACCUCC